AAGCUUGCUCCCCGCUGACGAGCGGCGGACGGGUGAGUAAUGCAUAGGAAACUGCCCAGUAGUGGGGGAUAGCCCGGGGAAACCCGGAUUAAUACCGCAUACGCCCUUUGGGGGAAAGCAGGGGAUCUUCGGACCUUGCGCUAUUGGAUGUGCCUAUGUCGGAUUAGCUAGUUGGUGGGGUAAGAGCCUACCAAGGCGACGAUCCGUAGCUGGUCUGAGAGGAUGAUCAGCCACAUCGGGACUGAGACACGGCCCGAACUCCUACGGGAGGCAGCAGUGGGGAAUAUUGGACAAUGGGGGCAACCCUGAUCCAGCCAUGCCGCGUGUGUGAAGAAGGCUUUCGGGUUGUAAAGCACUUUCAGUGAGGAGGAAAACCUUACGACUAAUACUCGUGAGGCUUGACGUUACUCACAGAAGAAGCACCGGCUAACUCCGUGCCAGCAGCCGCGGUAAUACGGAGGGUGCAAGCGUUAAUCGGAAUUACUGGGCGUAAAGCGCGCGUAGGUGGUUUGAUAAGCGAGAUGUGAAAGCCCCGGGCUCAACCUGGGAACGGCAUUUCGAACUGUCAGGCUAGAGUAUGGUAGAGGAGUGUGGAAUUUC
This 600-nucleotide ribosomal RNA is filed under the name Marinobacter sp. RNAcentral's name for it is "bacterial SSU rRNA". It matches the Rfam family "Bacterial small subunit ribosomal RNA", at positions 76 to 670 of the family's 1533-position model. The record is from RNAcentral. Lineage: Bacteria; Pseudomonadati; Pseudomonadota; Gammaproteobacteria; Pseudomonadales; Marinobacteraceae.